UGGGGAAUUUUCCGCAAUGGGCGAAAGCCUGACGGAGCAAUACCGCGUGAGGGAGGAAGGCUCUUGGGUCGUAAACCUCUUUUCUCAGGGAAGAAGAAAGUGACGGUACCUGAGGAAUCAGCAUCGGCUAACUCCGUGCCAGCAGCCGCGGUAAUACGGAGGAUGCAAGCGUUAUCCGGAAUGAUUGGGCGUAAAGCGUCCGCAGGUGGCGAUGAAAGUCUGCUGUUAAAGAGUGAGGCUCAACCUCAUAAGAGCAGUGGAAACUACAUAGCUAGAGUGCGUUCGGGGCAGAGGGAAUUCCUGGUGUAGCGGUGAAAUGCGUAGAGAUCAGGAAGAACACCGGUGGCGAAAGCGCUCUGCUAGGCCGCAACUGACACUGAGGGACGAAAGCUAGGGGAGCGAAUGGGAUUAGAUACCCNNAGUAGUCA
RNAcentral lists this ribosomal RNA (428 nucleotides) under uncultured Nostocaceae cyanobacterium. RNAcentral describes it as "bacterial SSU rRNA". It matches the Rfam family "Bacterial small subunit ribosomal RNA", at positions 355 to 796 of the family's 1533-position model. Lineage: Bacteria; Bacillati; Cyanobacteriota; Cyanophyceae; Nostocales; Nostocaceae. The record is from RNAcentral.